This 103-nucleotide ribosomal RNA is filed under the name Cricetulus griseus (Chinese hamster). The record is from RNAcentral. Lineage: Eukaryota; Metazoa; Chordata; Mammalia; Rodentia; Cricetidae.
ACAGCCAUAUUACUCUGAACUCAUCCAAUCUCAUCUGAUCUUGGAAGCUGAGCAGAGGUAGGCCUGGUUAGUUCUUGGAUGGGAGGCCUUGUCUAAUGCUUUU